UGAAUUGCAAUCGUGAGUUUUACUUCUCCUUGUCACCUUUUACUUUACUGUACUGAUAUGCCUUUUUGGAUUUUCAUCUAUAGCUAUGCCUUGGGUCCCUCUAACAACUAUUUUGGGUAUUACAACCUAGGUCAGAGAAACUUUUAGAUUCGUGAAUCCCUCAGAGCACUUGGAGCUUUAUUUUUGACAAAUGAGAUGACGCUAUAUGAAUAACAAUGAGUGUUUCUACUUUCUCUCAUUUUCUCCUCGGCCUUUUUUGACUUACCCCUAGUGCUUUUAUAUAUUAAUGGUGGAGUAGCAGAUGUUCACGGACAGGAACUCAUUUUGACCCUUGAAGGAAUCACACUCUUUUUUGUCGUGAAGAAGAGAGAAAGCUGAGAGAGGUAAAAAAUAAAUAAAAGAAACCUUUUAGUGGAGAGUCAUACUGGUCCACGAAUUGAAAAAGAAUAAAAAAAGAGAGAGCCACUGAGGAAAUAUCUAAAUGUGGGGUGAAUUCACAUUUGUUAGUCACUAGUGUUGCCCCUCCUAACCACCUCAGGCUCUUACGGCUAACUGUCUAUCCUUUUGUUGGGAUUUUUAUUUUAGAGGUAUAAAGUGACCUAGAGGUCAUUCCAUAAAUUGUAGAGGUAUUAAGGUCAAAUAACGCGUCUCGUUCUUCUUUAAUACCUUUUACAGACCUUCAAUCUUUAAGGUAGGGGGAGAGAAGUUCCAAAUACUAACAAUACUAUAAGAAAUUCGUCAGUGCUCACUAAGGAUGAAAUUCAAUCACAUUCUCAUCCUAUUGGCCUGAUGACAGACAAGAUUCUUCAACCAUUGUAAAAGGACAAGGACGUCGUCCUUUUUAAAUCUGUCCCUCUUUUACUUUGGUUGGGUAAUGUUAUACAUUUCUUCUUUUUUCGCUUUUUUUUGGAAUUGAUAUUUUCCUUUACUUAUAUUAAUACUUGUGUCCUUAAUAAAGUUACCUUGUUAUGCCUAAGACCUCCCUCUACUCUUCUCUAAAUGAAGGAGUUCCUAAUUAAGAAGUGGUAAACCUCCAAGAAAAGGUUGAGACACAGUGAGGGAAAAUUGAGGUUCUUGAGGACCAAGCUCGUGUCUAUAAGAAUCAACAUGUUGUUGGGAACGCCGUUCUAGUUAAGAUCAAUGGUUAUUUGUCUCUUAAUUUAUUUAGGUAUCAGCUUAUGCAUAAGUCUGUGGAUCUUAAGGAAUCCUUAAAUGAUAACCAUGCAAUCCAAAGACCCUCUUGACGUCUAUUCUCAAGAAAAGCUCUACAAACUAGAAUCUUAUGAAGAUGAUGCUAGAGAUCCCAAAGGAGUCUUGAUGCCUCUUAGGUAUUGGAUUAAAGGUUUAGUUAAAAAGAAGUUUGAAAAAACCAUUGGGUGAGCAGGGGAAUAAACUUAAAGAUGAAAAAACACCUGCUGACUUUGGAGUGUAUUCAAGAAAACUUUCCUACUUUAUGAGUAGGAAUUAGUGGGCCCAAGGAAUUGUAAAUAGUAUUCUCAGAUCUUGGUGUAACAACCCUUCUGUUGUUAUAGGUGAGUAAAUGGUGCAAAAGUUUUGGGCUAAGUUAUUCCCCGAACUGAAGUUACAAAUUUCAGGCUACUCUAGCUUCAAAUAAAAUAUGAGUGAGGUCUAGAAUAGAUCAAUCUGAGAAUGGAUUGGUUAAAUGUAAUAAAUUUUAGAUUGAUUUUAUGUUAGCAACUGUGAUAAGCAAUCCAUAGGACUUUUUAGAAGUAAAUUCGGGAGAGUAGAACUCCCGAUAUCGAACUAGACACAAAAGGGUUAGUCUAGGAUGUCAUGGUUUAAGGUGUGUCAUGAACAAUCCAAAACUGAGUGGAUUCUCGUGUUUCUACCUCUCCACUCUACCUAUAUCAUAUGGCAUAUCUCUAUAGUAACUCUUGCUAUAGUAGGAAAAUUUCCACUAUUUUGAAAGUCAACACUAGUCAAUCCCAUUAUAGAAGGAGACGUCGUUUUAGUAGGAUUAGGCCUCUAUAGAAGGGUAAAUUACCGUAAAUACAGAAAUUUCACUCAAAAUAAUUAUUUAUUCAUAAAGGUAAGUAUUUCACCCCUGUUAACAAUUAUUUUUUGUUUAUUAACCUUAAAAUUACUAGUUUACAUAUUUUGGGGAGAAUUUAAGCUUGAAUUAGUGAAUUUUUCGGUGCAAGGAGGUAAAUUAGGUGUAAAACCUUUGGGUUUUUGUUAUUAAUUAUUAAUUUAUUCUUGCAUGAAAUUAAUUCACUGAUGUAACCCUUAAAUUGAUAGGUUUAAGGUGAAUUAUAGUGAAAAACCCUAGAAUGGGGUGAAUAAUCAUGAAUUUGGCCAUGGUAAAGGGAUUAGGUUGUAAUCCUUGACAUGGUAGGUCAUUCGGUUGAUUAUUUAUUGUGUUCAUAUUUUUAGACCACGACUAAAUAAAAAUUUCACAGAAAGACAGGGCUUAGGCUUCAUGAGUGGUGCAAGCUUGGAUUGAGGUACUGAUGGUUUUAAUGUAGUCGAAACCUAAUUGGUGUUAUGUGUGCAUGAUAACUAAUUAUUAGUAUUAUCUGUAUAAUACAUGUUCAACAAAAUGAAUGACUAUUUGAUAUCCUAAGUGUAAAUCGCAUGCAAUGAACUUAUAUGAAACUUGUAGUACUUUAUAAGUGUUGUUUUUUAUUAUUGUGGUUGUGAUUUUUAUGGUAUCUGACAUUAUUGUGGUAUGCACUGAUAUUUGUACUUUUCCAUCGAAUUGGUGAUAUAAGAUUGAUAGACACUUGAUAUCUGGAUUGGUUACAUAGACAAGGACUCUUCCAUUACAGGUCAUGACUAGUGGGCGCAUAUAUAAGACCCUUAUAAUGUGUGUAUAAGGUACAAGUGAGUGUGGCAGUUCCUUGAGUGAAUCAAGGAUUAUAUGUUUCUUACUUUCAUUGGUUUAUUGAGUGAAUUGGGUUUGUAUGCUUAAUUGGUAAGGUGGUUUCUUGUGUAAACUGAGAAAUAUGUUAUUACUAUUAUGGUUGCUAAUAAGAAUCCUUGGGUGUUCUGGGUUGCUUACAAGUUGUGACAUGGCUCUAUGUUGUUUAUUACUUGUAUGAUUUGUACAUGGUUUAUAUGAUAGUUUCAUCAUGGUUGUUGACUUGGAGUCUUAUUAUUGGUCCUAGUUGACUUGACUGGUUAUCCCCGUUGACUCUUUUUAACUAAAUUUCAUGUAGUACUUGUUUACCAGGUUAAGUAUUAUGAACUUGAAAGAUAGUUGCAUGAUAAAAUUCGUGAUUGUCAUGUUGUACUAUAUUUUGGUUAUGUGUCCAUAUUUAUUAUUUUGAGUUGGCAGAUGACCCUAACGGCACACCGUUAUUUCUUGUGUGCUGAUACUAUAUGUUCUCUUCUUUUUGUUGAGUGCAUAGCAUAUUUCAGUAACUGUUUUGAGACCUCAACUAUGAUUUGGAUCAUUUUCGAACUUAAGGGUCUACAUUUUUUUGGGAUACCAUGGAUUCUUCUAUUAUUUUCCUAUCCCCUUAUUUCAGACACAAACAUUACUUUAGUUCUAGGGUUUCACCCCUAUUUUUGACAUUUACUAACGUUUUGGUAUGAUGACUUUUAGUUUCUAAGGGAUGGUUUUCUGCAUUAUUUUAUUGUUAUCUUUUGUUAUAUAUUUGGAUACUGAUUUUUUCAAUGGAAUUGGUUUUAAUUGCCUUUUUUGGCCAAGUUUUGAUUGGGUUAUGAUGUUUGUUGGUUCUCCCACUGGAAGGUUUUAGUGUGGGUACACUAAUAGCAAGUGUAGGUAGCCACACUCUGCCCCCGAGGAGUUUGUUUCUUCCACUGCUGAUUUGUUUGGAGACAAUAGUCCAGAUAAUCAUUAGUCCCGAUCAAUAGUCUUUCCUUAUGUUUACUUUAUUUGAGCUCCUCAUGUAGUUUUCUUAUGUUUAAUUAAUAUUUAAGACGUCACAUCUUUUUUAGAUUGUAACACCUUUUAGACAUUCAUUGAGUUUCUUUUGGUUGCUAUAAUUUUAGGCAUUAAAAUCUCUUAUUUGUGUUUGUGAUGGUCGUUUUGUGAUCGUUGAAGGUAGCCAGCCAACGAUUUUGAUUUUUAGGUGCUCAUUUUCUUAGCACAUAAUUUUGUCAAGGCUUGCAUCCCUUCAUACUAUUAUGUUUAUAAUAUUAUUUUAAUGUAUGUACUUCGUGUUUCAACUUUGAGAAAAGAUGAGGCCCUUUAUGUGAGAAAUUAUUGCAUUUUCAGCAUUUCUUGAAUGAUUAAGGACGUCUCCCACUUACAUUAAAUGUGAAGUGCGAAAACAUUUUAUUAUAAGCUUCGAAGACAUGGUAAUAAAUAAAAUAGAGCAAGAUCUUUAUUGGUAGAAAAGUUCUCUUUAUUUGUAGAGUAAUUUCUAUUACAAAGAUGUUUCUUAUAGGGCUUGAGUUGUCAUUCAUAAGAGUAAUCAUCCCUUGUCAAGUUACUAUUAUGAUCCAAGUCUACCCCCUAGUUAUAAUACGAUGCCUAGAGUCAUAAGUGACCACAAGCUAACCAUGGUCUGGUAUGAUGCAAAAAAAAUUGAAAAUAACUGAUAUAUAAACACUUAUGCAAAAGCUGAACUGAAUAACAAAAUAAGUAUUAAAUGAAAACCAAUCCACAAUAUUUGAGUUUAUGACCACAACCUGAACAUCUAACUGUAUGUCUGAAAGCCUACACUAAGAUGAGUUGUUGGGACUAGCCCUCAUUUAACUCUAACUUUUUAACACUGAGAACAACAAAGACAAAAUGAAUUGUUGAUAUUUUCCCUCGAAUGAUGAGGACUCAACAAGAAAUGUAGCUGAGGUGGUAGGAAGAUGUACUAAGUACGAUCCGGAUUCUGAGUGUUAGAACUUAUAUUAUGAAACAAUAUAGCACAAAAAAGUAUGCAAUUAGUAUUUUGAAUGUACUGAGUAUGUGAUAUAGGAAAUAACUAAUAUAAUCUAAACAUGAUACAUCUAAUAUGAUAAAAUAAUACAAGACCAAGUAAUAAAUAUGUACUGUAUAAUAAACUGGAUAACUGAAUACAAGGUCAUACAAGAAUCUGAACUGUAGUGUAAACUAUGGACUGUGGGAGCUACUAAUAACAAACAUACCCUAAUCUGAGCUAAUCAGGGUCAAACACAUAACCCCAUCUAAAAGGGUGUUCAGUAACUUGCUAAGAGUAUGAACACUGACUGAUGUAGAUCCAUUAAACUGAUGUCCGAAAGAACUAAGGUGUCAAGCCUGGUCUGAUGGGUGACCCUUUAUAACCUACCAUGGAAUUGUAGUUUUGGGACUUAGAGACUUCUACUAAAGGUAUCAAUCUAACUGGCGGUUGAGCCUUCUUCCUUGUAUCCGGCCGGUGCUAAGUACUACUCCUAACUGAAUGACAGUGAUGACUGCAUUGCUCAAUGCUAAUAAUAUUCUAAAAAAUAAAAAAUAAUAUAUCAUCUUAAAGCAUUUAAAUCAUGUAAACUAGGGGAUAUAGUACCCAAAAGUAUAUGAAUGAAAUCCUAGGUUAUCGGAUGUUCAUAACCCACCAUCUCUGAAGAGUGCAACUACUAUGCUAAUUCCAUCAGCUGAAUGAAUUUAAAAAUCUAAUAACUCAAGUCCGACAAUCAUAAAUUUCAUAAUAUAAUUAGGGUUUGUGAUCAUAGUCUUGUAAUAAUACUGAAAUUCAUGAUAAAACAGGGAUACAACUUAAUGACACCAUGGGACUGAGAUAUCAAUGAAUUUACCAAUAUCCAAAAAUCCUAAAUUAUGAAGAAGGAACUGAACUGGAGAAUUGGGUUAACUAUAGGACUCAAUGGAUGAAACAGGACCCAUUGAUGAAAUCCCACAUACCUGGGGAUGGAAACCUUGAAGAAUUCUUUAAAAUUAGAUGCCUGAAGAGGAUGAACCCUAACUUUACCUUCUUAUAAGAAAUCACCUCUAUUCUCUAUUUGCAACUAAGUGUCGAAUGAUUUUUUUGAAUAAUAAGAGCUUAGGGUAAUAUUAACACUAAUAAUCAUCCUUUAUAUAACCAAAAUGACAUAGUUUGAUGUUAAAGAGUGGGAAAAGACUAAUAUGCUCCUUUAAAAUUCAUAACUAGAAACUACUGGGAGGGACAGGACCUUCCCAUGAUCGUAGGAACAACCUACAAUCGUGGGUUUUACUCAUGGUUGGGAGCUAUAUGAGAUAUCUCUGAACAUGAUUAGAUGAUUCUUGGUACAAUUGUUGGAUCUAUCUACAAUCAUAACUUAGUUCGUACAUUUGAAGGUUUAAUCAUGAGCAUCUUGUAGGACUCACGGCCGUGCCUAGGAAAAUGGUUUCAAAGAAAAAUUGUGGUUCCCUCUCAUAAUUGUAAGGUAUACUUGUCAAAUUUUAGAUGUUGGGUUUGUCUAGAUCAGAUGACACGAUUGUACGGUCAUGCAAAGUAGCCACGGUCUUGGUUUGGCUCGUGAUAUCUCAUUACAGUAUAGUGCUUCACUAAAGCAGCCAUAACAUUUUACUACAAUGUUGGAUUAAGGAGGAAAUUGAUUCUUUGGAACAAUAGUUCAAAUAUAUAUCAUUUGGUGGAUCGUGAUCCCAAAGAUGCUUCAUAAUCUAUAGAUUAUGCCCAUUUAAAUCUGAUCAUUUCUCAAGAAAUUAAUUGCUAAGAGGGGUUUGGCUUGGUGAAGGGCUAGGGAGUUUCCUGUGGCCUUGUUACAUGGCCAAAUUCCUUAUCAUACUAUUACAACUUGAUUUUUAAUACUAAAAGUACUUGAAGCAUGGUUCAAGCCUUGGAUUGAAUUUUUGGGGGUGUUACAGUUACAUAAAUAUUUUAUGCUUUUGUGUGGAUUCUCUAGGUUUUUUUGGCUAGUCCCUGGUCUGUAGUUUAUGAGAGCCUUCUCUCGAUAGUUCCCAACAUUCAUUAUUUCCUUCUUAAUUGUCUUAACAUCUACCCCAUUAAAACCCUUUUCCAAAAAGGCCCUAGUGGGUUAAAAAAGAGUCAAGGUAAAAAAGAGUGUAGGUGAUUUGUAAGAGUGAAGAGGAUGUCUGGUGUCAUGACCUAAAAAUCAAGGGUCAUGAUGGUACUUGUCUCGGAAAGCCUUGACAAGUAAGACUAUCACCCAAAUUGAUACGAAAUGUGAAAUCAAUACCAAAACCCAAGGUAAUAUUUCUAUAACGGAGUCAAACCACACAAAUAUUGUAAAACCUGAAAUACAUAGUCAAAGAUACCAUACAAUACCCCAAAACCUGGUGUCACAAUGUAAGAACUACUAUAUGCAACUCAAAUGUCAAAUACCAUAAUAGUCCAAAAGAUCAAAUAAGUCUUUAUCAAUAAGAUUUCACCUUACGCACAGACUAGGAAUCAGCUAAAACACAUAAAUAUAUAAUCUAUGCAUCAAAAGAAAGCCAACAAUACCCAUAUUGCCCACUUUUGCAAUGGGGUCCAAACAAACCCCCUAAACAGGUUUUUGAAAAUGGAAGUGUAGAAUUGGAACUUCAGUCUAAAACAUAUUUACCAAUAUUAAAGGAACUCAUAGGAGAAAAUCUAAGUGAAAAGGGACUUAAAUUGGGUUUUAAAUCAAAGAAAAUGCUAAUUUAGGCCUCUUGGUCCAAAAUUCCAAAUUUCACCUUUAAAUUCGAGUUUAAAUAAGAUUUAAAUGAGAAGAAACCGAAAGAAAAGAAUUGAAAUAGAUAUUUGGAGCUUACCCAUGAUUAAAAAUGGAAGUAAAUGCCCAAAAACUUGAACCCCAAGCCCAAAGUCUCGAAAAUGGUAAAUGAAUCUCAACAAUGGGGGUGUAAUCCACCCAGGCAUCACCUAAGCGAUAGACGUCUGGCAUGCCAGUGUCUGUUAGGUAACCACGCUAUUGUUUAAGUGGCAAUCACUUAAGUGAGCCUAGUGUCUCUCAGGAGAGACUUUGGUUGUCUGGUCUAUUUCCUUUAGCAACCAAAGCCUCGCUUAAGCGAGUGCACCAGUGGGUGGUGUACAUGCUGGAUACUUAAAGAAUUCACAGUCUCUGUGGAUACGAACUAUGCAACUAGACUAAAUUCAAUUCUUCGGACUCAAUGGCGAUAUCAAAUUUUUGAAAUAAAUGUUGUUUACACAAAAUUUACUCCAAAGACCCAAUUUUAUAAUUUUCUAAGUCAAGGGUCGAAAUGAGAUAUAAAAGUCAUGAAACAACACAACCUAUGUUACCAAUCUAAAAUUGACGUCCUAGAUCUGCUGGCAGUCUAUUUUUCCAUCAAAUAUACAGAUCAAUAAACAAUGACUGAAGUAAACUAAUAAGCCUUUAAGAUCAUCAAAAACUAUAAUAUUGCAUAAAUUAUACCAAAAUGCAUUGACCCUCACACUCCGAGAAUACCACAAAGCAACCAUGAGGUGGGUUAAAAUGAUCAAAUCAUAUAGAAAUAAAUAUUUUAUUCAAAUCACCAAAAAUCUGGCCACAUCCACUGCUAAAAAUCUAGUUUGUCCUAAACUAAAGGCAAUAGAAAAUAUCCGAAUCACCAAAAAACUGGGGAUAACUACAAUUCAUAUCAGUCUCAACCUCCCAAGUAUACGCAUCUACAGUUCGAUGUCUCUACUGGACCUUAACCAUAAGAAUAACCCAAGAACUCAAUCGUCUGACAUCCUUGGCUAGAAUGGAGAUAGGAUCCUAAGCAAAAGACAACGACUCAUCUAACUGAACUGAACCCAACGAAUGACACGAGUCUUAUCUAGAAUGUAACACCAAAGCAUAGAAACAUGAAAAACUAGAUGAAUAGUUGAUAAAUAUUGGGGCAAUUCUAACUCAUAAGCUGCAUCCCCAAUAGUUUGGAGGAUCUCAAAAGGUUCGAUAUACCUGGGGUUAUACUUACACCUCUUUCCAAACAUUAACACACCAUUUAUUGGCAAAGCACGAACAAAUACGUGAUCGCCAACACUAAACCUUAAGGCACAAAGUCUAUGAUCCACAUAGCACUUCUGGAUACUUUGAACCUCUCAAAGUCUAUCCUAAUUUUUAGGUCGUUACCUCAUCCACCACUAAAAAUCUAGUUCCUUCUCGAACUAAGGCAAAGAAAUACCUGAAUCAAUGAAGAGCUGAGGAUAAGAACUACGCAUAUCAGACUCGACCUCCCAAGUAGCUUCAUCUACAGGUCGAUGUCGCCACUGGACCUUAACCACAGGGAUCACUCUAGAGUGCAACUGCCUAACAUCCCUAGCAAAAAUAGAAACUGGAUCCUUAACAAAGGACUACCGCUCAUCUAACUGAACUGACUCCCAACGAAUGACAUAAGACUCAUCAGGAAUAUAGCAACGAAGUAUAGAAACAUGAAAAAUUGGAUGAACAACUGAUAGAUCAGGGGGCAAAGCCAACUCAUAAGCCACAUCACCAACAGUCCAAAGAAUCUCAAAUGGACCAAUAUACCUGGGGCUAAGCUUUUCGCUCUUCCUAAACCUCAUCACACCCUUCAUGGGUUAAACUCAAAGAAAAAUAUGAUCACCAACACUAAAUUUUAAGGCACGAAGUCUACGAUCAGCAUAGCACUUCUGCAUACUCUGAGUCGCUCUAAGUCUAUCCUGAAUGACUUGGACUCUAUCCAAAGACUCACAAAGCAAGUCCUUACCUCAAAGUCUAAUCUCCAAAAUAGCAAACUAACUAAUUGGAAAACGACAAUACCUACCAUACAAAGCCUCAAAAGGAUCCAUCUCAAUACUAGAAUUCUAGCUAUUAUUAGAUGCAAACUUUGCCAAAUCUAGAUGUUGCUCCCACUGACCACUAAAGUCCAUAACACAAGAACAGAGAAUAUCCUCCAAAACCUGAAAAGUCUGCUCAUACUGAUCAUCGGUUGGGGGAUUAAAUGUUAUUCUAAGAUCAACUCGAGUACCCAACUCUUCCUAAAAAGUUUUUGAAAGGGACAUAUGUACACUGACCCUUGACUCAAGAUGCUAAACACUGGCAUACCAUAAAGAUGAACUAUCUAAUAAAUAUAGAUAUGGGCCAACCUCUUAGCACCAAAAGAAACCUAAACUGGGAUAAAAUUAGAAGAUUUGGUUAAUCAAUCCAAGAUGGCCUAAACACUAUCAAAACCAUGAGAAGCAAGAGGCAAACCAUACACAAUGUCCAUAGUGAUUCAUUCCCAUUUUCACUUGAAAAUGGGUAACCUCUAAAGCAACCACUAAGUCUCAAAUGCCUAGACUUCACCUGCUGGCUUCAUAGGGAAUGAACUAUAAAAUUUGCUAAGUCCUUCCUUAUACCACUCUACCAGUAAUAUUGCCUCAAGUCACGACAUAUCUUAGUCACUCCUGGAUGGAUAAAAUACUUUGAACAAUGAGCCUCAUUCAAAAUAAAUCUAAUCCAAUCACCCACUCUUGACACACAAACUCAAGACCCAAUCCCCAAAAUACCAUCUUGAUCAAUAAAGGCUUUCUUAGUCUCACUACUCAAUACCUUAUCCCGAAUCACUCUUAACCCAACAUCAUCAAACUGAUGAACUUGAAUUUUCUCUAUUAAGGAAUACCUAUACUUCACAUAUUCCAAAAUACACCUAGAUGUCGAAAAAUUAAUCCUAAUUAUCUAGAUAGCCAAAGACUAAAUUAUAUAAUCCAAAUAGCCUCUAAAUUGCUAGAGAGGAUUCUUAUGAGUUAAUAGAAACUUGAUGGCUUCUUCAUGGCUAUCAAAAGGCAUCCAUUGGGUUAUUAUGAUGAUCAAAGAGUCUCAAGGGACUUUAGAUAGGUCAAGGGAAGGAAAAAUGGGGCUAGAAAGCCCCUAAAAGAGGACAUGCACCCCAUCCACUUUGGAGGUGCACCCAACCCGCUAAAGUGGGUCAAAACAACCCACUAUACCUUUAGCAUGUGCCCCAUGUGCUCUAUAAAUGCUUAAGCAUGUGCUUAAUGGGAUUUUAUGCUUUUGUCUUUCCUAAAUGGGUCACAUUUGGGCCCAUAUGAUGUAAAAACUUAGCCUAGAUAAUAAAUAGAACUUUUUUGGUUUCAUUUGUGAUUUUAUUUAUAAAUCAUCAAUCUAAUACAUGAUGGGCCAAUCCAUCUUACAAGUCUAACACAACACUUGAUCCAAAUAAUAUUUAACCCAAAUAAAUAACAAGUGGACCAGCCCAAUUAAUUGACCCAGUCUGAAAACCUUAUAUAAAAAGAGUAGGGUUUCCAAAUUUAGCAAUAGAAUUGAGCUCCUCCUUUCUUCGCCCCCUUCUUAAUAUUUAGCUUCACCAACUUUGAAUUUCUUCUUAUUCAACUUUAGGUGGUAAAUACCGUACCAUUGUUGCUCCAAGAUGAGGAUUCUAACUUUCCUGAGUGAGUUUAUUCCCUUUUUGCUUAUUUUGGUGCUUAAACUUUAAAUGAGUCCCUGAUUUGAAUCCCUUUCAAUCACUAUUUUAGGUUAAAUAUUUAGUAUGUUUCCAGUUAUUUUUGGUACUAACAUGACGAGUCUUGUCUUUUGACCCUUUCUUCGUUUUUCAAGUAAGUCCUCUAUAUUUAUGAGCAUGCUUCUUGACUUAUGUCUUGCUUUUAACCAUCUGCUUUUUCUCCAUGUGUAUCUAUAUCUGGGAUAGAGAUGAUUGGAUGCUUGAACCCGCUAAUAGUUGAAAAGGAACAAGUAGCUGAGUCGCUUGAAUCUUAUCUGACUUGGUGACCUCUGAUCUACUGAGUUUUCUUUGUUGUUGGAUAGUGUAGAUAGGAAAACUAGCAUUUUCACUUUUUUUGUUCAGUCUCCUUAGUUGUAAAUAUGUUGUAUAUGAAAGACCUUACUGUAGACUUACCAGUCCCCUUAUCCUUUUGCUAAAAUUAGCGUCAGAUAUGGGCAUUGUUGCUUGUCUCUGUUAAGUAUCUUUCUACCUGAACUUGGUAGUUGGUUGAACGUUGUAAAUAUGAACUUCUCCUACUCAAAUGAUGGAUUAGAUAAGUAAUCUUCAAGUUGGUUACCUUCCCUAAAUAUAUGUCUUAUUUAUACUUGCUUGUUUUGUAACAAAUGCUUUAUUCUAUUUAUUGUGUUUGCUAUCUUCCUUGGUGUUUUCCAUUCCUGGCUUAAGAAUUUCUGCAUUGCUAGUGAGUCUAUCUGAAUAAUAACCUUUUCUUCUCCUGACUGACUGUAAUGAGUAACUACUUGCAUUAUGGUUUCAGCUUCUACUACCAUGUUAUGUGUCUUCUAUAAUUGCUCCUUCUGUAUGCAUUAGAUCUCCCUUUACAUCCCUUAAACAAAAUGCCCAUGAGCUGCUUCCUAGAUUCCCUUUUGAUGUUCCAUCCAUAUUGUAUUUAUACUAACCCUGCUCUAGUAAUUCCCAUAGCACAAUAUUAGAUGUGACUCUAGGUUUUAGUUGACUGAGAUGAUUCAAUAUUGUUGGCCAGUCCAUUGCAAAUUCCAGUGUUAGUUUCGUCACCUUCAGUUGUAUCAUUAGGUGUCUUGUAACAUUGAAUAUUGAUCUAUGCACACUAAUUUCUUUGCCUUGAUGCUUCUUAGCAUUUUGAUCUAUGCACACUAAUUUCUUUGCCUUGAUGCUUCUUAGCAUUUAUCCACUUCCACACUUCCCAUAUUAUGAUUAUUGGUAUUACUCUGAAAUAGGCUCUUUCCCUUUGUUUUACUUGAGCAUUCCACCACAAAUAAAUUAUCUCUCUUAGACUCAUUAUUUGUAUGCUUAUUUAUGCAAAAGAAGAGAAAAUAGGACCAGGUCCUAUUAGCUAAAAAUGAUCUCAUUAGCACAUGUUAUAUGGUUUCUUGUGCUGGAUUUUGACAACACCAGUACUUGGAAUGACUAUGUAUCCCCCAUCUUCUAACUAUAUUAUGUAUUGAAAUCCUUCCCUACAUAUUCUCUACAUAAAAAUAUAAUCUUGAAAGGCAACCCUUUUAUCCAUAGUUGCUUAUUUAAGUCAUUAGGCUCUGCUGCCUAACAUACGGCCAUACAGACCUUACUGUGAAGUUUCCUUGUACUUCCAAGCUCUAAAUUGGUUUGUCCUUUUGAUUUGUUAGAUCCACUGCCCUUACUUUGAGCUUUACAUAAUCCACUAUAUCAUCUAUAAACAUACUGUUCAGAAUAUCCUUAUUCCAGCUCCUAUUAGUUAUUAAGUCACUGACACACUGAUAAUUGUCAUCCCAUUCCUUACUUUCCUCUAUAAGAGAGUAUAUCUCUCCCAAUCUGUUCCAGAUAUCUGUAACGACCUAAAAUCUCAUCUUGAGAUGCCACACGGUACUUAAGGCUAUAAUUAGCCCCAACCUAACCCUUUGAUCCUGCUACUAUGCUUAGAACUUACUCUAAUGACAAACAGAGCAAAACAAAGGUACUAUCAUAUCAUAUUUCAACUGAAAUUACAAAGGAAUACUGUCUGAAUAGCAUAAUAUUAAAAGGUCUAAAACACCACUGAUCGUCUAGUUUGACAAAGCCUCUACUGCUCAAACUAGAGAGCCAUUGGGACAGACCCCAACUGACUCAAACUAAUCUAAAAAUAACACUUAAAACACUAUAAAAGCAGAAAAAGUUGCAGAUAUAGGUCCUCAAACUAUGAGGACUCUCCAAGAAUAAUGAUGUAGAUAAGAUGCUCGGACAUCACGAUCGCUGCUGAGAUUGAGCACCUGAACCUACAUUAUGAGACAAUGUAGCACACAGACGUAUGUGUUGAUUAAUAUUUUCAGGAUGUACUGAGUAUAUGGGGGUGUAUGCAAUAAUUAAAAACAACAAUACAUUAAUCUUUUAUAGAAAUCAUGCAUGGUGAUAUAACUGACUCACAUAGCUUGAAUAACUCAAAAAUGUAAAUCUCAUAAAUUAUGACUAAUGGAACGUAUAGUAUAAAUCUCGUGAGUUAAUACACUUGGUUCUAAAAAUCUGUAUUUCUAGUCUCUUCUCAAAACAUAUAGACUACGUAGUAAAGUGCUCAGCUCUGUAUCUGAAAGCUAAGACUGUAACAUGGAAACUGAAAUCUCAAGUAAAAUAAUAUUUGAAUAAGCUUGUGAGCCUUCACACUCAUUAUCUAAAAAUCUUUACUAACUAGGUGUAAUGCCUAAUUUUUUGGAAUCGAAACAUCACACGGUGAUCAUGAUCCCAAAGGUCCACAAGCUAACCCUCUGCUAAUAUCUAUACCUGAACACUGCAUAAUAUUGAUAAUAAGUGUGGAAACUGGCCAUAAGAUUCAAAACAUCUAAAGAUACUCAAAAUUGAAAACUGAAUACUGAUACAUCUAUCCAAAAAGCCUCUAAACUGUCUGAACUGUGGAGUAGAUGGGACAUGUCCCCAACUAACUCCGUCUACUGAAAAUAAACAAAGCUUGAUGUAAUAAUAAACUAAGGAUCAUCCUCGAAUGAAGAGGACUCACUACUAUGUCUACUGUUGCUGACUGGGACUGAGCUGCUAAGGGUACUCUGGAUCUCGUACCUUUGAACCUAUCGUGUCAAAUAAUAUACCAUAGCACAAAUAUGUCAGUACGGGAAUGUACUGAGUAUGAAGAUGAGGUAAGGCUAAAUGCAAGGGCUUAUGCAUAAACAAUUACUUAACUGAAUAAUCAUGAGAAUACUGAAUGAGGACAUAUGCAUGAAUGCACAACCAUAACUGAAAACAUUGCAACUUGAAAUACUAAAACUCGAAUACUGCUUCACUAACAUCUGAACUCACUACUAAUAUUGAGAUACUGAAUAACUGAAUCUCCUCAUAUUAAUAACUGAAUACUAAAUCAGUCUUAUCUAGCGAGUGAUCUUGAAAACUGAUAAUAUUGAAUCUAAUUAACUGAAUCUACUCAUAUUAAUGACUGAAUUCUAAAUUUUCUACUCUCAGCUGACUGAAUCGGAGAUCAAACCUCUCUAACGGAUGAUCUCGAAAUCUACAAUCAAUGAUAAGAAAGAUUAUGUCUGAGAUCAAACCUAUCUAGCAGAAGAUCUCUAAAUCUGAUAAUGGGAAUACCCAACUAAAUCUGAGAUUGAGAUCAAGCCUAUCUAACGGGUGAUCUCUAGAUCUAAUAAUGAGAUUACUCAACUGAAUUUAAGACUGAGAUCAAGCCUAUCUAACGAGUGAUCUUUGGAUCUGAUAAUGAGAUUACUUAACUAAAUUUGAGAAUGAGAUCAAUCCUAUCUAAUGGGUGAUCUCUGGAUCUAAUAAUGAGAUUACUCAACUGAAUAUGAGACUGAGAUCAAGAUAAUCUAACGGGUGAUCUCUGGAUCUGAUAAUGAGAUUACUCAACUGAAUCUGACACUAAGAUCAAGCCUAUCUAAUGGGUGAUCUCUAAAUCUGAUAAUGAUGUUACUCAACUGAAAUUGAGACUGAGAUCAAGCCUAUCUAAUGGGUGAUCUUUGGAUCUGAUAAUAAGAUUACUCAACUGAAUUUGAGAAUGAAAUCAAGCCUAUCUAACGGGUGAUCUCUGGAUCUGAUAAUGAGAUUACUUAAUAACUUUAUAUGGGACCAUUCCUAUCUAGAAGGUGGUCCAUGAAUCAAUGGAACUAUUUGAGUUCCUUACUAAUACAAGGGACUAUAUCUGAUAGUCCUGAUUUCUGAGUUCUUCUCUGAAGAUUGAUACUAAAACUGCAACUGUAAGAGUGCUCACUUAAUCGACAUUCCCCAAAUCUAAACUGGUGGGGUCCAACCGAUAACCUCAGCUAGAAGGGUGUCAAUAUCAUGCCACGGAUAAAGACCUCUCUGGUCAAGCCUCUCUAACGGGUGACUCUCAAAGGAAGUCAAGCCUAGGGCAGUAUAAUAGUCAAGCCUAUCUAACGGGUGAUAAGCCUUUUUCUGACAGGUGACUCCUGUAUUGUGCGCUGGCUACGCAGUUCUGGAGUUCAGGGAUUACUCUUAAUGACUGUGCCUCUCUAACGGGGAGCCGCCAUCCCUGCACUCACUCGAUGCUAGCUCCUACUCCCAACUAAAAGACUCUAAAAUGAUUUUUAACUUAAACUAAAUUGAAUAUGAUAUUGAUCAUAUUUCUCAAUUGAUCGACUGAGUUAAAAUGAAUUCACUUGGUUCUGUAUUUGACGUAAUACUACUAAAUCUGAUUAUCUAACUGAUGGUACUGAGUUCUGGACUGAACACUCGAAUACUACUAAAUCUGAGCUGAGUAUUGAACUGAGGCUAAAAUACUAGCGAUACUGAGAUUACUGAGAUUUCUAAGAUUUCUUAAGUUUUGUAUUUGUCUAAGAUUACAGAUUUCUAUAACUCACUGAGUUUUGAGAAUCAUGGCUUGACUGAGAUUAUUGAAAAAACUAACACUGGUUCUAGACUGUAGCUAAUUUGUCGGGUAUAAGUACCCCCAAGACUCAGUAACAUAAAAGUAAACAUAACAAUUCUUGGAUAAUCGAGACCAUGGGCAUUCAUUAACCAUCAAAAUCACUACAGUAUCUCUUCAGGCACUUGGAAAUCAUAAACAUGUAAUAGUAUAGGGAGACAUAUUAUUCGCUCAUACUCCAUUCAAUAAGGUCUUGCAUCAAAUACUUAACAUGCAUUAAAGAAUACAUAAUUGGGGGAUUUCAUGCUAAUAUGUCACAAUUCGUUCUCUAAGGCUUUUCAACAAACACUUGGCAUGGAUGAGCUUGCACACAAUUAGGGAUUUCUAGUCAACAUGCUAUAAUAGCUCUAAUUCCUUCACAUAAGCAUUUUAUCAAACAUAUGGGGAGUAUGCUUUGCUUAUUCAACAAUUUCUACACCUAAUUGACAUGAACACAUCACUUAACAAGCAACUUGAAGAGGGAUUAUCGUGAACACCACAUGAAUAUCACAUACUAGGAUCAAAGCUUGAAAACCUUGCAAACAAACAUGAAUCACAACUCAAUAAUAGCAUAAACAUCAAUUUCAACCCACAUGAAUCAUAAAAACUCAUAAACAUAGGAUCUUUGAAAUUUAGAAAAGGAUUCUUGAGCUUCUUAGAUGAAAGAGACCCAAGAAUCAACAUCCUCAUAUCUUAGGAAACUUUUUCUUAAAGACACUUGGAGAGAUUCUUAAUUUCUUGAUUUCUUUUGAUUUUCUUGAAGAAGAAAGAAGGGUUUUGAUUUUGUAAAAACCCUAGUUUUUGAUGUUGAAGAUGAGAAAUGAAAUUGUGAGCCUUGAUCAAAUAUAAAUAGGGGCAGAAAAGAGUGAAAAAAGGACCAAAAAGCCUUUCAAAAAAUGAGUUAAAAAUGUUGAACGGGGUCUACGAUAGUCAAAGUGAUGGUUCGUCGCUCAGCUUGACGGUCCAUCGGAUCAUCCGUCAUACAUCAGUUAGCAAAAUAAUACACUGCCUCAAUGAGACGGUCUCAAAUAUGGUCCAUCACAGCCUCGAUGGUCUGUCGUCCUGGCCGUCGCACUUGAGCCAAAAAAAGGGAGUUAUUGCCUUGGUUGCGAUGGUUCAUCAUAAGAUCGACGGUCCAUCAACUCGGCCAUUGCACUUGGACAGUUCUGACUACUUUUAGUAAAAUUUCCAUAACAUUCUCGUCUGAUGUCAAAUUUUGAAAAAAUUGGUAUCAAUGGAAAUAUUUAUCACUUGGGAAGACACUUCUCAACCUUUUAAGGCCAGAUUUACGCUUCACUUAAUAGGCUCUAAGGCUCAGACUACUAGAGAAUUUUAUGGGGUCUUACACAAGGAUAUCUUUCAAAACAUUACAAAAAAUACUCAAAAACUAUUUAAUUACUUUUACUAGCAGGGAGGUUCUCUUAACUGAUAUACACCAUACGAGCUACAUGGAGUCCAACGUUUUAUUCUCCUAAGGAAGAGACCUCAUAUUAUGGAGAGGUGUCAUACUCUUGCUAGGGAGUAAACCUUAACUCAGUGAUCACUAUCUCGGCCUCGGGCCCAUAAAUCUCAAUCCUAUAGUGGCACGUAGUUCUGGGGUAUGAAACCAUAGUAACUUACCCGGCUCGGUGCUAAAUUCUACGCCCUUUAAUUAGCUAUGCUCAUUUCAUAAGAAAUCCAUUUUUAAAAAUAAUCUCAUGGUUUAUAAUGAAACCAACUACAAAAUCUGUAAUCUCAUUAGUGAAGUGGAUUUAAAAGCUAUUAUGACCAUCAAGGUCAAACUUUAUCAAUAAUCUCAAAACAAUCAAAUCAUGGCUGCUUAUAGCACAAAAGUUCUUAAAAUUACAAUCUCAAAUAGGGCUUAAUGAUCCACAUAUCAAUCUCACGUUAAGACGUAUCAAAAUUCAUACUCGAUAUCAUAAAGAUUCAUAAAUCAUAUAGAAAUCUAGAAAUUUUUCAGCAAUAUGCAUUAUAAUCUCAACAUACUCAUGUACUUCAAUUUCAAAAAUAUUGAAAUCAUCAUAAUCUCAAGAAAUACAACACUUCAAUUUCUAAAACAUUGAAAUCAUCAUAAUCUUAAGAAAUACAACAUAGGGUAUAACCCAUACUUCAGUUUCAUAAGAAAAUAUGUAAAACCAUAUAUCUUUGUAAUUAAAAUAACUUUUGGGAACAAGAACGAAAGAAGUGUCCUUGUUCAAACCCCACAUACCUUAGGUUUUGAAUUUAGAUGAACAAGCUUGCUUGAGACUGUUUUUCGUACUCUUGAGUGGAGUUUCUUGAAGCUUUUGACUUGGGAACCAUGAAUCUUAAAUUAAUUUGCAAUAACUAUGGUGAAAUCCUGGAGAAGGAAUUAGGUCUUGCUUUUGAGGGUCAGUCUUGAGAGAAAAACCCCUAGUUUUUUAUGCUUUGGAUGAAUCUGAAGUUCCAUGCUUCGUUUUGAGAUAUCUAGGUGUUAAAAGGGGUGGAAAAAGACAAAAAAUCCCCUUUCAGAAAUGGCUUUAAAUUGCUAAACGGGAUCUGUAAUGGCGACGGUCCAUCACUAGCUCGACGGUCCAUAGGCCUGACCAUCGUACUUAGACCAGAAUAGGUACUUACUACCUUAGUUAUGACAUCUUGGGCGAUGGUCCAUCGCUAGCUCGACGGUCUAUCGGCCUGACCGUUGCACUUGGACCAGUGAAAAGGUUUAAUGCCUCAGUUGCGACAGCCGGAGCAACAGUCCGUCGCUAGCUCGACGGUCUGUCGGCCUACUCGUAGCUCCUGGGCAGUUUAGAUAUUUCUCUGUAAAAUGUCCAUAGCUUUCUACUCCGACAUCGGAUUUUGGUAAAAUGGGUAUUGUUGGAAAGCUAAUUCAAUUUCCCAUACGAUAAGAAGUCAAAAUUAGGAAAAUUCUACAUAGUUUAAACAUUCCUCACUCAGGAAGUCAUCCCUUAAUCUUUUGGAGACUAAAUUAGACUUAAAGAAAGUUUGGGAUAUUAUAAUAUCAUACCAUAUAUGAGCAUCUCCUCUCCUAAUUUUCCAUAUAAUAAGAUGGUCUAUCAAAUCCCUGACAUGCAAUAUCUUUUUUCGUACCUGAGAACCACAACCUACUUUUCAUAUGACUUUUUUAGGAUGAAACUUUCUACAGGACUUGUUAAACAUGUAUUCACUCCAAAUUGUCUUCUUGGUUCUAAAAUUCCACUAUAAUUUACAAAAGAGAGUUGUUGAAACAUAUUGUUACCUUCUAAAUCCAAGUCCCCCUUCUGCUUCUAGUAAACAUAUAGUUGACCAAGAAACCUAAUGUCUUCUUCUACCUCUAAUAGUACUACUACAAAAUUUUUUUACAAUUGUCUUUUGGAUAGUAUUUAAAAAAUUAUUAGGGGGAUUCAUCACUAAUUGACAGAGUAUUUCUAUGCUUUGUAGGACAUUUUUAAUAAGGACUGCUCUACCACCGUAGGACAAUAGCUUUCCUUUCCAAGCUUGUAACUUAGAACUGAUUCUAUUCAUGAUAUGCUGGUAGUACCCUUUCUUCUUUCUCAUGUAUAAAGUAGGACACCCUAAGUAGUUGAAAGAGAAAUGUUGCCUCAAGAUCCCUAUUCCAACUUUUUCCAUCACUGCUACACCAUUAGACAUACUGUCAUAUAGAUAGUGACACUUUUUCUCUGUUGAUUUUCUGUCCUGAUACACAUUCAUAUUUCUCCAAAGUAUCUUUCACCAGCUGUAAAGUUCCUAGUUCUGCCUUAUAUAAAAUGAUCAUGUCAUCUGCAAAUGCCAGAUGGUUGAUUUUAGGACUUCCUCUAGGCAUCCCAAAGAGUCUGAAUUCUUUUUUAAUCUUGAGUUUCUUUAAGCUUCUUGAUAAAACCUUUGCUGUAAUGAUAAAUAGUGUAGGUGAAAGAGGGUUACCUUAUUUAAUACCUCUAGUGGAUUUGAAAAAACCUUUUGGCUAUCCAUUUCAUAAAAUGGAGUACCAAUUGUUUGCUAGAAGCCUGAAUACCAUAUCAAUCAGCUGUUCACCAAAUCCUAUUCUUCUCAGUACUUUGGUCAGAAACAACCAUUCUACCCUGUCAUAUGCCUUCAUUAUAUCAAGCUUUAUCACCAUGUUUGGAGGUUUACCCCUCUUCCUAAAUUCAAAAACUAUCUCUUGAACCACUAAAAUAUUUUUAGCUAUACUCCUUCCUUAAACAAAACUAGCUUGUUCUUCUUAUACAAUAUGAGGAAGAAUAACCUUAAUCCUUUUAUGAAUAAUUCUAGAAAAAAUUUUAUUCAUAAAGUUACUAAGGGAUAUUGGUCUAACAUCUGAGAAGGUACUUAUUACUAGCUUUUUUGGUAAUAAUACCAAGUUUGUAAGAGUAAUAAAUCUUGGAAGAUCAUAACCACGGAAAAGCUAUUACCAUCUGGUGUAGGUCCUUUGGAAUAAUACUCAAUACAUCCUGGUAGAAUGGCUCUGUCAUGCCAUCUGGACCUCCUACACUAUUCCUAUUCAAACCCAUGACUGUAGUAUGUACUUCCUCCACUGUUGGUAUUUUCUUCAAUUCUUCAUUCUAGGAAUAUGUUACCAACUUUGGCAUUUGAUCUAACAAUGAAAAAUCUUUUGGAUCUUUUUUUCUCAAAUUGCUUCUAAAAUAAAACUUCUUCUGUCUUAGCUAUAUCCUCCUACUUGUCCAACUAGUUCCCAUUUGAGUUAUGUAUUCUUUAGAUUCUUAUCCUAGAUCUUCUUUCUAUGAGUAGAGUAUGGAAAAAUUUAAUGUUCUUCUGUCCAUCUUUAAACUACUCAAAAACAACUUUCUAUUUCUAAUAAUCUCCUUCUCUUUUCAGCUAAAGUGUUAAUUCUGCAUAUGCUUAUGACAACUUGGUUCUGUUAAUAGCUAAUGGUUCUUGAUUAAACUGUUGUUCUCUUACCUUAAUUACCUCCUCCAGAGUGGUAAGCUCUUGGAGAAUAUUUCCAAAAGUUUGCUUAUGCCAUUUAGUCAAUGUAGCCUUACUUUUCUUAAUGUUUUGGUGAAAGUUGAUAAAAGGGUUCCCUUCACAUUUAGUAGACUAAUUCUCCUUAAUAAUAUUAAUGCAUGAAUCUUUCUUUAGCCAAAAAUUUUGAAAUAUGAAGGGUUUGAUCAGGUGCUCACUUGAUUUGCUAAAAUGCAACAACGUAGGAGCAUGGUCAGACCCACUUUUUACUAGAUUUUCUAAUUCCAUAACUAGAAACAAGUCCUGUAUUUUUUCAUUAAUCAACAACCUAUCCAGCCUCUUAAAAAUACAAUCUUCAUCUAUUCUGCCAUUUCUCCAUAUGAGUUUACUUUCUUUGAAAGCACAUUCCUCCUGAUUACUCCUGCUAAUACAAUGGUUGAAAUCAUCAGUCUCAUCAACUAUAAAUUGUAAUCCACCAAGAUUUUCCUCUUCAUUUCUGAUUAUAUUGAAAUCGCCACCCACUAGCCAUGGGUUUUGCAUUAUAUUAGCCAUCUUCUCUAAUGAGUCCUACAAUAUUUGUCUUUCAUUCUAACUGUAUUUUACAUACACCAGUGUGACAAAUACCUCUAUUCUCUCAUUCUGAUUGUCCAACUUAAGAGUAAUCAGUUGUUCUUUAUCCCUGAUAAUACUAUAUUCAAUAAUAGUAUUUGUGAAAGCCCAUAUUUUACCUAAACAAUUCACCACUCAUGCUACUUUCCCAGUUGACCUGCAUACUCCUCUAUACAAUGACUCUCUUGAAAAGAUUCCAUUAGAACAAUAAGACCAAAAUGAAACCUUCUAUACAUUGUACUCAAUCUUGUGAAUGCUUUUUGUGUAUUCACAAAUCUAAUGUUCCAUAUUAAAGCAUUCAUUUUGAUAAUGAUUUAAGCAUAUGACUCCUUAUCUGCAUUAUGCUUGCAUUAAUCUUCUUACUCUUUUCUUCUUUUUCCCAUGCUUUGUAGUUAAAGAUUGAGCCUGAUCUAGAGAUAGAUCUACUUUAUUUGUAUCCUUUUUAAUAGUAUCCACUAGGUUCUCUUCAACCAGAUCUCUAUUCAUACUAUUCACCAUCUCUAUCAAAUUGUUUGCCUCCAUUACUAUUGGUAAUACCCCUUCCAGUAUCAUUUUCUAUUUAUUAGUCUUAUCAGAUUCUACCAAGGCCAAUUUUGCAUGAUUUUGAAUUUUCUCCUCCUUCUGAUUAUGUGUCUAAGCUUGCUGAUCUUCAUUAUGUUUGUUCUGUGCUGCUGCUAUACUUCUCCUUGCUUAUCACUUUCCUUGGUGCUACCCUUGGAUUGCUCCUGAUUACCAUCAAUACUUGUCAACUCUUCUGUUGCUUUUGUUUCUCCUUUGGCAAAGAUCAUACUCACCCAAUCUUUAGUGUUUUCCUUGUGCUACAUAGGUGUGGCUUCUUUUUUAUUCUCCUAUUAUUCUUGAGUUAAAGCAUCAAAUGCAUUUAAUGUUUGAAUUUCCUCUGCCUUGUCUGUUAUCUCUCCAAUUAUAUGCCCAUAUCUAUCUUUUUUGUAUUUUUCUUCUUCUUUGUAGCCAUUGUUUCUUAGUUCUUAUGUGCUGCUACUAUCUGUCCUUACUCAUUCUCUUUUUCUUUAUCCUUUUCUUAUUCUUUGCCCUCUAUUUGUCCCAGGAUCUUGUCAUACAUCUCUAGAUAAAUAUUCCAACAAAAAACUUUAUCAUGAACCUAUAAGCAACAUUCCUUACAGUAUUUUGGCCCGUGGUUAUAUUGAAUACUAAUCCAUUUUGACCUGAUCUCUCCACUUGUAUCAUAUUCUUCAUUGAUCUCUACCCGUUGAGGUAACUUAGCAACAAGGUCCACAUCAAUCUUCACUCUAGCACAUCUUGGUCUUGUGUGGUUUUUUUGUCGCCAUGUCCACCAUUAAAGGUUUUUCAAUUGCCAAAGCAAUUGAAAAAAUUGCUUCUUUAGCAAACAAAUAUGGUGGUAGAUCUUGCAUGGAGAUCCAUGCAAUGCCUAUUAUUGUUUCAACAUCUGGUUCAAAUCAAGGGUCCCAUUUGAGGGUUCGCAUUUGCCAAUACACAUCAUUAACCUUAAUAUGAUGAGCUACUAUUGAUAAAAAGUGCACAUAGUCCUCUAGUUGACUCAAACUUAUCAAAAUAUGCCAUGAAUCCACCACCCUUAUUGUACAUUCUCCUUUUAUACUACAUUAAAGAGGGAUAAUUUUUCAUAAUGCAUUAACCUCUGGCCUAUUAUAAGAGAACUUACCUAUGACUGGAUACUGUAAAUUAUUUUAUAAUAUUAAUGCUUUCACCUUUGAUGAUUUCCAUUUCACUGAUAGCUCCCCAUGUACCAUUAUAACUAAUUUAGGAGGGACCUUAUUAUUGUCAUGCAUGUAAGGUUUAUUCUUCAAUAGAUCUGCAUACUUUGGUGCCACACUUUGUUGCUUCUCCCUUUUUACUUGCUUCUGAUUCAUUGAUUCAUCCAGUGGAUCAGCUCCACCAAAAUUUGUAGUCUGCACAUAGUUCUUAAACCUUCUUCUAGAGGCCUCAGGGAUUAUUUCUAUUUCUUACUUUUAAGUUCACUUUAGGAACAAAGUAGACUUUUAAGUGUGGGGUGGGGAAAUUCCUAAUUUUAGGCUCAAUUUUCAAAAAAAAUUUGGUGUAAGAUAAUCUUGUUGGUGCUAUUUUUGAUUACAUUGUGCAAGUGUUUUAGUUGUAUAAACAUGUUGAAUUAUGUGAAUUACUACUGUUGAGAAUCCUAGGCUCAUGUUUGUGACUCUUGUACUUGUGGCUUAAAUUUUUAAUUCAUGCUAUUGUUGGUUGAGCAUCUAUGAUGAUCCUAUAAGAGUUUCAUUUAGUAUGUAGUUAUUGAUGAAUUAUGAAUGUAAACACUUGUGAAAGUGUAAGGCAAGCUUGGAUUAACUUAUAGCAAACGUGGAAUCACUGAUGUUGAUUUAUCAAUUAGAAACGUGGUUUGCUUGAGAAUCCAAUUUCCUUGAGGUCUACAUAGGAGAUCAUGUGCAAUGUGUGACAUUGAAUAGAAGGUUAGGGGUUUGAUACACCCUUAAUUUGCUAUUCAUUCAUCCAUUUUAUCUAUCUAUUAUUUUCUUUUUAUCUAACCUUAUUUUUUAUAUUCGUAUCCUAGUUGUAGUUUUUGUUUUCGUACUUUGUUUGUAUAUCAUUUUGUAUAAGAGCUGAGCUUGAUUUCAUUCCUACGAAGUCAAUCUUAUGAUUGCUAACUUGAAAAUCCAUAAAAAAGGAAGUGUCAAAUUGAAAAUCCCAAAAAAAUUUACUAUUCAUGUUUUUAGCCCUAGGUCAAAAUUUGAGUUUUUGUAUUUUUCUUUUGUUUCUAGUGUUAGAUUUGUGUUCUUUAACACUAUAGGAGUUCAGGUUCUAAAUUUGAGCCAAUCAGAGUCAUUGAGUGAGAUACCAUUGUUGACAGCUUGAACUUGAAGAAAGUGAAGAGGAUCAAAAGUAUAGAAAAAUUUGUUGAGAAUUUGGGAAAAUGAUGUUGGGAAUGAGUUAGAAAGUUGAAAAGUGCUUGAUUUCAAAAUUUCAACUCAUUCGGAGCUCUAGAGAAGAAGUUAGUGUUCUUGGUGUUCUUGAAGAAAUUGUUUUCUUCAAGAAGAACUUUCAGCUAUAAUUAGUUAUUUGAUCCUAAAAAGAGUAAGAAAAACUGUUGGUGCAAAGCACCUUUUGAAGAUCCAAAAGAAUAUCCCAAGGAGAGAACAAAAGGGGGAGACCAUUUGGAAGUACAAGUGGUACAAUUCAAGUUGUUUUUUGGCUGAUCUACCCUUGAAGUGACCUUGAGGUGCGCCCAAGGUGCAGCAGCAUGUUAAAACAGUAGCCAAGGCUUCUCACAUGCAUCCAAGUGCUCCACACCUGCUAGAGUAGGUCCUAAAUCAGCCCCAAACGCAGAUCACCUCUAGUGAACACAAAACAGCCUCAAAUGCGUACCAACACUUCUCCAACAUCAAUUCUAGUUCUAAAACACAUCUCAACGCUAUAAAAACUCCAUUGCUCAAGGUUUAAUUCUUAUUUUCAAUUUCUUGAUUCUUAAAUCACUUCUUUGAAUCUUAAACUACUCAUCGACUAGUAAUGCAUCUACUAUAUUGAUCGAUUAGUUCUUGAGUCUUUUUCUUUAGUAUUCCUACUUGUUCUUUCAAGCUCUUUUCUUUUGAAUUCAUUCUAAUUUCUUGGUUCAAGUCCUUAAGUAAUUUUAUAUUUGAGUCAUUUAAAAGAAGAUUUAUUCCAACCUUAAGCCAUAAUUGGUACCAAGCAUUUUCAUUGGAGUAUAAAUGACUUAUCAAUGCUUGCGACGCCAAUUGAGAAAUAAACUAAAGAUGUGAACUUUGAGAGAUUAUGAAGAUUUAUUAACUUCAACUUGUUUAUUGUUUGUGUUUUUUUAAGUAUUUCUUUCAUUAGUACGUUGGCACCAUAAAAGAUAACCCUGGCAGAUAUAAUGGCUGCUAUAUUGAGUGUAAAACAAGAUAUUAAUGCUAAUAUGGAUCAAAGGAUGGACUCCAUGAAUUGGAAAAUGGAAGGAAUGAAAGGAUCACUCUCAAGGAGGUUGGAAGACAUGAUUGAUACCCUUCCCAAUCCAUCAAACUUUCAAGUUUCCUUAAGUGGAAUGCUCCAAACGAACUUCAAGGUAACCAAGCUAACUCUUGCACUCUAGUAAAUAAGGCUAUUAGCCAACUAAAUAUGAAUGAUAGCUUAUUUUUAGGUGAGCCUAAUGACUCUUUACUUCAUCAUGAUAAUGUACAACUUGAGAGCAUGGAUAUAAUAGUUGAUCCUAAUGAGGGCCAAAUUAACUUUUCUAGUAAGAUCAAUUUGAGUCCACCUAGGUUGAAGACAAAGUAAUGAGUGAUAGUACAUUAUCUUCUGGAAAUUAUGUGUACCAACCUGUGUGUGAACCUAGUACACCACUAUUGGUGAUGUGGUUAAUGAACCUCAAGUGAGUGAUGAUGUUGAAAAUGGUGGUCAAUUGAAUAGGAGUGACCCUCAAUUUGACUUUGAUGAUGCUCAUGCUAGUGUAGAGGGUAUAACACUUUCUAUUAGUGGAACUCUUAGAGGAGAGGAGUUUGCCUAGGGCCAAGUCUAUAGCCACUCUACCCAUUUGAACCUGGUGACCAUUUUAAAUGUGGUGGUUCUUAUUCACACCACUUGGUGCUUGGUCAAGAUGACAAGAAAGCCAUGGUAAAGGUUGUUGCAAUUUAUCCCUAUAAGUCUUUCUUGAAGAUUUCUAAUCUACUUAAGGGGCCAAUUUUGUGUAAGGGAAGGAUAUCCAACAAAGAUGAGUAUUAUAGAGGUGUUAUGUAUUUAUUGAGACUUGGAACCCAUGUGUACCUUCAUGAAUGAUUGAUUGAUUACCAUGGUUCCUCUAUCCUACCCCAAUGUCCAAAUCUCUUGAAGCACCAAAUAGUUCUUACUUAUUAGGGUUAUCAUCCUUGAUUGAUUAUUUUGAUGCUUGGUUAAAUCUUAAGUAUGAGAAACCUUAGCAUGAUGAUAUUUUUCACAUAUUGAGGUUGUUGCACAAUUUUUUUAAUGGAACUAGCUUAGGAGAACUUCUUCAUGCUUAUCAUAGUCAACUCUUUUACACCUUAAAUUUUGACUCCUCUUCUAUUGUUUUGAAGGAUGUUUGGUUAUUUAUGAAAUGGGUGGCUCCUUGGCAUGGAAGAUUUGAUUUUAACCCUUGUGCUAACCCUCGUUCCUCAAAGAAAUGUUGGUUGUGUUUUUUCUCUUGUUUUUAAAGGUUGUAAAUUCGAGGACAAAUCUUCUUCAAGAAGGAGAGGAUAAUACAAUCCAAAUGGCCUCUGGAUUGCUAGAGAGGAUGCUUAUGAGUCAAGAGAUACUUUAUGACUUCUUGAUGGGUCUCAAAAGGCAUCCAUUGGAGUAUUAUGACAAUCAAGGAGGCUCAAGGGACGUUAGAGAGGCAAAGGGAAGGCAAAACGUGUCUAGAAAUCCCCCAAAAGAGGACAUGCAGCCCAUCCACUUUGGAGGUGCACCCAAUCCACUUUAGAUCUACUACAAUGGGUCAAAACAUUCCAUUAUACCCUUAGGAUAUGCC
RNAcentral lists this long non-coding RNA (27039 nucleotides) under Capsicum annuum. RNAcentral describes it as "long non-coding RNA (CANN_LNC010162)". The record is from RNAcentral. Lineage: Eukaryota; Viridiplantae; Streptophyta; Magnoliopsida; Solanales; Solanaceae.